Molecule: ribosomal RNA, 319 nt
Filed under: uncultured eukaryote
Lineage: Eukaryota
Description: partial 18S ribosomal RNA
Rfam family: Eukaryotic small subunit ribosomal RNA
Source: RNAcentral
CCCUUAGAUGUCCUGGGCCGCACGCGUGCUACACUGACGCCUACAGCGAGUACUUCCCAGCCCCGAGAGGUGGCUGGUAAUCAGCAAUAGGCGUCGUGAUGGGGAUAGAUCUUUGGAAUUAUGGAUCUUGAACGAGGAAUGCCUAGUAAGCGCAGGUCAUUAGCCUGCGCUGAUUAAGUCCCUGCCCUUUGUACACACCGCCCGUCGCUCCUACCGAUUUCGAGCGGUCCGGUGAAUCUUUCGGACUGCGCGCGGCCUCGUGCCGUGUCGCGGAAAGUCAGGUAAACCUUACCACUUAGAGGAAGGAGAAGUCGUAACA